GUGAGGAAUAUUGGUCAAUGGGCGCAAGCCUGAACCAGCCAUCCCGCGUGCAGGAAGACGGCGCUAUGCGUUGUAAACUGCUUUUCCAGGGAGAGAAACUUGCGCACGUGUUGCGCAAUUGACGGUACCCUGGGAAUAAGCAUCGGCUAACUCCGUGCCAGCAGCCGCGGUAAUACGGAGGAUGCGAGCGUUAUCCGGAUUCCUUGGGUUUAAAGGGUGCGUAGGCGGACUAUUAAGUCAGUGGUGAAAUCCUGCAGCUUAACUGCAGAACUGCCAUUGAUACUGAUAGCCUUGAGUUUGGUUAAGGUAGGCGGAAUGUGUAAUGUAGCGGUGAAAUGCUUAGAUAUUACACAGAACACCAAUUGCGUAGGCAGCUUACUGAGCCGACACUGACGCUGAGGCACGAAAGCGUGGGGAUCGAACAGGAUUAGAAACCCGUGUAGUCC
RNAcentral lists this ribosomal RNA (446 nucleotides) under uncultured bacterium. RNAcentral describes it as "partial 16S ribosomal RNA". It matches the Rfam family "Bacterial small subunit ribosomal RNA", at positions 354 to 796 of the family's 1533-position model. The record is from RNAcentral.